AUUGAACGCUGGCGGCAGGCUUAACAUAUGCAAGUCGAGCGGGGUGAUGGUGCUUGCACUAUCACUUAGCGGCGGACGGGUGAGUAAUACUUAGGAAUCUGCCUAUUAGUGGGGGACAACAUCUCGAAAGGGAUGCUAAUACCGCAUACGUCCUACGGGAGAAAGCAGGGGAUCACUUGUGACCUUGCGCUAAUAGAUGAGCCUAAGUCGGAUUAGCUAGUUGGUGGGGUAAAGGCCUACCAAGGCGACGAUCUGUAGCGGGUCUGAGAGGAGGAUCCGCCACACUGGGACUGAGACACGGCCCAGACUCCUACGGGAGGCAGCAGUGGGGAAUAUUGGACAAUGGGGGGAACCCUGAUCCAGCCAUGCCGCGUGUGUGAAGAAGGCCUUAUGGUUGUAAAGCACUUUAAGCGAGGAGGAGGCUCUUUUGGUUAAUACCCAAGAUGAGUGGACGUUACUCGCAGAAUAAGCACCGGCUAACUCUGUGCCAGCAGCCGCCGUAA
This 503-nucleotide ribosomal RNA is filed under the name uncultured bacterium. Its description in RNAcentral is "partial 16S ribosomal RNA". It matches the Rfam family "Bacterial small subunit ribosomal RNA", at positions 30 to 523 of the family's 1533-position model. The record is from RNAcentral.